Molecule: ribosomal RNA, 593 nt
Filed under: uncultured organism
Description: bacterial SSU rRNA
Rfam family: Bacterial small subunit ribosomal RNA
Source: RNAcentral
UGGCGGCGUGGUUGAUACAUGCAAGUCGAGCGGGAACGGUUCCUUCGGGAGCCUAGUACAGCGGCGGACGGGCGAGUAACGCGUGAUUAUCUACCCCAGGGAGAGGGAUAGCCACUCGAAAGGGUGGGUAAUACCUCAUAAGACCACGGAGUCGCAUGGCUUCGCGGUAAAAAGGUUGGGAUCUUCGGACCUUCCGCCUUGGGAUGAAAUCGCGUCCUAUUAGCUUGUUGGUGGGGUAACGGGCUACCAAGGCAGCGAUGGGUAGCCGGCCUGAGAGGGUGGACGGCCACACUGGAACUGAGACACGGUCCAGACUCCUACGGGAGGCAGCAGUGCUGAAUUAUUCGCCAAUGCGCGAAAGCGUGACGGUGCGACGCCGCGUGCAGGAUGAAGGCCUUCGGGUCGUAAACUGCUGUCAGGGUUUAGGAAACCGUAGAGGUUAAUAGCCUCUGCGCUGACCAGGCCCAAAGGAAGCACAGGCUAAUCUCGUGCCAGCAGCCGCGGUAAUACGAGAUGUGCAAGCGUUGUUCGGAAUCCCUGGGCAUAAAGGGUGCGCACGCGGUUCGCUACGUCAGGUGUGAAAUCCCACGGCU